Molecule: ribosomal RNA, 468 nt
Filed under: uncultured bacterium
Lineage: Bacteria
Description: partial 16S ribosomal RNA
Rfam family: Bacterial small subunit ribosomal RNA
Source: RNAcentral
GACGAACGCUGGCGGCGUGCUUAACACAUGCAAGUCGAACGGAAAGGCCCUGCUUUUGUGGGGUGCUCGAGUGGCGAACGGGUGAGUAACACGUGAGUAACCUGCCCUUGACUUUGGGAUAACUUCAGGAAACUGGGGCUAAUACCGGAUAGGAGCUCCUGCUGCAUGGUGGGGGAUGGAAAGUUUCGGCGGUUGGGGAUGGACUCGCGGCUUAUCAGCUUGUUGGUGGGGUAGGGGCUUACAAAGGCUUAGACGGGUAGCCGGCCUGAGAGGGUGACCGGCCACAUUGGGACUGCGAUACGGCCCAGACUCGUACGGGAGGCAGCAGUGGAGAAUAUUGCACAAUGGGCGGGAGCCUGAGGCAGCAGCGCCGCGUGUGGGAUGCCGGCCUUCGGGUUGUAAACCGCUUUCGCCUGUGACGAAGCGUGAGUGACGGUAAUGGGUAAAGAAGCACCGGCUAACUACGUG